ACGCAGCUCUCGGCACAACAAACACAACACAAAAUCAAUUUAUAAAGAAAGCAAGUAAAAAGAAUAUUCCAAAUUGCAAAAUGAAACCCGCGAAAAGAAAGAAAUCCUAUUAAAAUUCCAUUUCGAAUAACAUGCAGAUAAUAUAAUAAGAGCACACAUCCUCUCUCACACAUACACGUAAUUAGCCAUUUGUUGCAGUUUGCUCACAGGACUACCCGUGAUGUAAGUAGCGCACAUUUUGAAUGUUACGUAACAUCCUUGGCAUCAGCUGCGAUCUCUUUAGAACACUCUAGUCGCUUGUUAUGCUGAUGAUUCAAUGCUUUGCCCCUACGAAUAUUCAAAAACUCUACGUAAACUCAAAGACACAAGAGACACAAAUACAAGAAGCAGAGAAAUAUCAUAUAAUUCCAUUUUUAUUUUAGGAUGGAAUUCAUAUGUUUAUUAUUAUUGUAUUUCCAUGUGUACAACGAGAGCCGAUCAGAUUAUGUGGUUUCUGAUCGGCCUAGACAUAUACGAAUGGAGACUAAAAAACAGUCUUAAUUUUGUGGCGCGUACAUUUCAUUAAAUUUCAUACAUUUCAAAUAGUUCUACAAUAGCUCAGGCAACCUUCAACGAUUGGUAUGGCAAUCAUGACCAAUCAUGACCAGCUGGAAUAGACCAGAAAUUCACUCUGAUACUCGGAUGCACUCUAGAUAUACAUACAUAGUUCUACACAUCUUGACUUCCAUACACACUUAUAUCGAAUAUGCAUAUAUAUAUAUUUAUUUAGACAUAUAU
This 777-nucleotide small RNA is filed under the name Drosophila virilis. RNAcentral's name for it is "GJ26984". Lineage: Eukaryota; Metazoa; Arthropoda; Insecta; Diptera; Drosophilidae. The record is from RNAcentral.